Molecule: ribosomal RNA, 837 nt
Filed under: uncultured archaeon
Lineage: Archaea
Description: bacterial SSU rRNA
Rfam family: Archaeal small subunit ribosomal RNA
Source: RNAcentral
GGUUACUGCUAUCGGUGUUCGCCCAAGGCAUGCGAGUCAUAUGUUCGUAAGAACAUGGCGUACUGCUCAGUAACACGUGGAUAACCUGCCCUUGGGUCCGGCAUAACCCCGGGAAACUGGGGAUAAUUCCGGAUAACGCACAUAUGCUGGAAUGCUUUUUGCGUAAAAUGGAUUCGUCUGCCCAAGGAUGGGUCUGCGGCCUAUCAGGUAGUAGUGGGUGUAAUGUGCCUACUAGCCUACGACGGGUACGGGUUGUGAGAGCAAGAGCCCGGAGAUGGAUUCUGAGACAUGAAUCCAGGCCCUACGGGGCGCAGCAGGCGCGAAAACUUUACAAUGCGGGAAACCGUGAUAAGGGGACACCGAGUGCCAGCAUCCUAUGCUGGCUGUCCGGGUGUGUAAAAUACACCUGUUAGCAAGGGCCGGGCAAGACCGGUGCCAGCCGCCGCGGUAACACCGGCGGCCCGAGUGGUGAUCGUGAUUAUUGGGUCUAAAGGGUCCGUAGCCGGUUUGGUCAGUCCUCCGGGAAAUCUGACAGCUCAACUGUUAGGCUAUCGGAGGAUACUGCCAGACUUGGAACCGGGAGAGGUAAGAGGUACUACAGGGGUAGGAGUGAAAUCUUGUAAUCCCUGUGGGACCACCUGUGGCGAAGGCGUCUUACCAGAACGGGUUCGACGGUGAGGGACGAAAGCUGGGGGCACGAACCGGAUUAGAUACCCGGGUAGUCCCAGCCGUAAACGAUGCUCGCUAGGUGUCAGGCAUGGCGCGACCGUGUCUGGUGCCGCAGGGAAGCCGUGAAGCGAGCCACCUGGGAAGUACGGCCGCAAGGCUGAAACUUAA